AACGAACGCUGGCGGCAUGCCUAACACAUGCAAGUCGAACGAUGCCUCCGGGCAUAGUGGCGCACGGGUGCGUAACGCGUGGGAAUCUGCCCUUGGGUUCGGAAUAACUCGCCGAAAGGCGAGCUAAUACCGGAUGAUGACGUAAGUCCAAAGAUUUAUCGCCCAAGGAUGAGCCCGCGUAGGAUUAGCUAGUUGGUGGGGUAAAGGCCCACCAAGGCGACGAUCCUUAGCUGGUCUGAGAGGAUGAUCAGCCACACUGGGACUGAGACACGGCCCAGACUCCUACGGGAGGCAGCAGUGGGGAAUAUUGGACAAUGGGCGAAAGCCUGAUCCAGCAAUGCCGCGUGAGUGAUGAAGGCCUUAGGGUUGUAAAGCUCUUUUACCCGGGACGAUAAUGACAGUACCGGGAGAAUAAGCUCCGGCUAACUCCGUG
RNAcentral lists this ribosomal RNA (433 nucleotides) under uncultured bacterium. Its description in RNAcentral is "partial 16S ribosomal RNA". It matches the Rfam family "Bacterial small subunit ribosomal RNA", at positions 29 to 507 of the family's 1533-position model. The record is from RNAcentral.